RNAcentral lists this ribosomal RNA (205 nucleotides) under Bacillus altitudinis. RNAcentral describes it as "16S rRNA. Bacterial SSU". It matches the Rfam family "Bacterial small subunit ribosomal RNA", at positions 1 to 200 of the family's 1533-position model. Lineage: Bacteria; Bacillati; Bacillota; Bacilli; Caryophanales; Bacillaceae. The record is from RNAcentral.
CUUUUUCGGAGAGUUUGAUCCUGGCUCAGGACGAACGCUGGCGGCGUGCCUAAUACAUGCAAGUCGAGCGGACAGAAGGGAGCUUGCUCCCGGAUGUUAGCGGCGGACGGGUGAGUAACACGUGGGUAACCUGCCUGUAAGACUGGGAUAACUCCGGGAAACCGGAGCUAAUACCGGAUAGUUCCUUGAACCGCAUGGUUCAAGG